Molecule: ribosomal RNA, 497 nt
Filed under: uncultured bacterium
Lineage: Bacteria
Description: partial 16S ribosomal RNA
Rfam family: Bacterial small subunit ribosomal RNA
Source: RNAcentral
GAUGAACGCUGGCGGCGUGCCUAAUACAUGCAAGUCGAGCGAACGGACGAGGAGCUUGCUUCUCUGAUGUUAGCGGCGGACGGGUGAGUAACACGUGGAUAACCUACCUAUAAGACUGGGAUAACUUCGGAACACCGGAGCUAAUACCGUAUAAUAUUUUGAACCGCAUUGUUCAAAAGUGAAAGACGGUCUUGCUGUCACUUCUCGAUGGUUCCGCGCUGCAUUAGCUAGUUGGUAAGGUAACGGCUUACCAAGGCAACGAUGCCUAGCCGAACGGCGGGGGGGAUCGGCCACACGGGAGGUGAGACGCGGUCCAGAGGCCUACGGUAGGCAGCAGUAGGGAAUCUUCCGCAGUGGGCGAAAGCCUGACGGAGCAACGGCGCGUGAGUGAUGAAGGUCUUCGGAUCGGAAAACUCUGUUAUUAGGGAAGAACAUAUGUGUAAGUAACUGUGCACAUCUUGACGGUACCUAAUCAGAAAGCCACGGCUAACUACGUG